Benincasa hispida (wax gourd) is the source of this 733-nucleotide non-coding RNA. Lineage: Eukaryota; Viridiplantae; Streptophyta; Magnoliopsida; Cucurbitales; Cucurbitaceae. The record is from RefSeq and is a predicted model, not a curated record.
CCUAUAUAUCCCUUUUCUAAACCCUAUUUUCCCCAUCAGCCACCUCCUCCCAAGCCCCUCCAAUUUUUGUUUCUUACGAAAAUGAUAUUAGGUUACAUUUUGUUUCUCUCCUUUCUCUCUCAGAUUUCAGAAAAACCUUCAUAGACGGCGAAGAGAACUGAAACCGAAACCUUCUCAGAUUUCAGAAGUAAGAGAUAUGAAGGAUUUGAAUUUGUUUCUGAGAUUAUCACCAGCCGUAAUGAAGGAUUUGAAUCUGUUUCUGAGGUAAUAUGAAGAAUUUGAAUCUAUUUCUGAGUUCAUGUCUCUCUGGAAAGUGUCAAGCUAAAGAAAAAGAAGAAACACAAGAGAACAGAAAGGCCCAGAUGGUAGCAAAACUACAUGGAAUACUGAGACCAUUUCUACUUCAGAGAAUGAAAUCUAAUGUCGAGCUAAUGCUCCCUCGGAAGAAAGAAAUCAUAAUAGGUUAUGAUUGAAGGUAGCAUUGUUUUUAGUCUAAUUGUUAUAGAUAGAUUCUAUAACCUGUGCAUCAACCUCUCUUGUUUUCAUAAAUAUUAUUUAUAUAUUUAGAUAUAUAUCUCCGCCCAAAUCCCUCCCCUCUCGCCCAAAUCUCUCUCGCUCUUGGCUCAUAAAGCCAAAUACCCUCCCCUCCGCUCUCGCUCUCGCUCUCGCUCCCCCUCUCCCUCUCCCUCAUCCCUCCACUCUCGCCACUCUCGCUCUCGCUCUCGCCACUCUC